This 27-nucleotide non-coding RNA is filed under the name Mus musculus (house mouse). The record is from RNAcentral. Lineage: Eukaryota; Metazoa; Chordata; Mammalia; Rodentia; Muridae.
UAAAUAAAAAGCUUUGUUUCUUCCAAC